UUCCCACGGACAAACGCAAACAGUCCUGAGCAAAUCCUGCACGCCCUGCUCCACUCUUGCCCCUUCUAGCUGCCUCUGUUUCUGAAGCCCAGGCACUAAGGCGACAUUCUGAGGUUCAAAAGCCCAUUUUCGGUCUUUUCCUUGGAAAGGUGCUCCUAAAAUCUGAAAGUAUGCCACUUUAGGAUGCAAGUAGAUCUUUGUCCUGCCUGCCUGGUGAUGGAUUGCAGGGCACCGUUCCUGAGCCAGUGGCCUCAGUGAACACUGAAUACUGCCUGAGUGUCCACGCUGCACAGGGAGAAGCCAUGGUGGCAGCUGCAGAAGGAAUGCCCGCCUGGACAGGCCCUUGGAGAGGAAAUUCCUUGAGGUGUUAUAAAGGGAGCUUCCAUCGACAAAUGGGUAUUUCCGAAAGUGUGGGGAGAAGACCUGGUCCCCGGGCACCAUUGUCAGCAUCAGAGCCUGCACAGCUGAGUCGGGGUGAGCCAAGUGUUAAUUCCUUCGUUGUUUUCGGAGAAGCAGGACUUCUUCCCCCGAGGUGACUCAUUCCAACCCCAGGUCAAGAAGGAGGUGACUCUCAAUACAUCUGGGCUCACUCUCCACGUUGUCUUCCCAAGGCUUUUGGGAGAUUGAUGACUGGAUGACAAAAUCAGGACGGCACUCGGUGACUUUCUGCUGGUUCUAGAGAAUCCAAAUGAAAGUUCUACCCUGAACCUGCUCUGCGAAGGGGACCCACAUGAGGAAAAUGAUAAAAGAUAAUUCCAUUUCCACUGUGAAAGGAACCUUGCUAGAUAGCCUGUUGGCCUUACCUUCCAAACAGAUCCAGAAUCCCAGCACUUUCCCCUCAUUCCCUGCUAACUCCCCAGCCCAGGCAGGGCAAUUUAUUGCAUGCCCAGCUCUGAUGUAUGUGCAACGGUGCCCCUAGGAUUGUGGGUGGCACAGCCAGCCUGGGGUGGCCUCGUGAUAACCAGUGAUAUGGUUUGGCUGUGUCCCCACCCAAAUCUCCUCUUGAAUUGUAAUUCCCACAAACCCCACAUGUCAGGGGAGGGACUCGGUCAGAGGUCAUUGAAUCAUGGGGGUGGUUACUGCCAUGCUGUUUUCAUGAUAGUG
Saimiri boliviensis boliviensis (Bolivian squirrel monkey) is the source of this 1104-nucleotide long non-coding RNA. RefSeq lists it as uncharacterized. The record is from RefSeq and is a predicted model, not a curated record. NCBI's taxonomy places the organism in Eukaryota, Metazoa, Chordata, Mammalia, Primates, Cebidae.